Molecule: transfer RNA, 71 nt
Filed under: Loxodonta africana (African savanna elephant)
Lineage: Eukaryota; Metazoa; Chordata; Mammalia; Proboscidea; Elephantidae
Rfam family: tRNA
About the family: Transfer RNA (tRNA) molecules are approximately 80 nucleotides in length. Their secondary structure includes four short double-helical elements and three loops (D, anti-codon, and T loops). Further hydrogen bonds mediate the characteristic L-shaped molecular structure. tRNAs have two regions of fundamental functional importance: the anti-codon, which is responsible for specific mRNA codon recognition, and the 3' end, to which the tRNAs corresponding amino acid is attached (by aminoacyl-tRNA synthetases). tRNAs cope with the degeneracy of the genetic code in two manners: having more than one tRNA (with a specific anti-codon) for a particular amino acid; and 'wobble' base-pairing, i.e. permitting non-standard base-pairing at the 3rd anti-codon position.
Source: Rfam by way of RNAcentral
GUAUUGGCGGUUCAGGGGUAGAAUUCUCACCUUCCAUGUGGGAGAUCCGGGUUCAAUUCCUGGCCAGUGCA